GGGGCCAUAGCUCAGCUGGGAGAGCGCCUGCUUUGCACGCAGGAGGUCGUCGGUUCGAUCCCGUCUGGCUCCACCA
This 76-nucleotide transfer RNA is filed under the name Gammaproteobacteria bacterium. Its description in RNAcentral is "tRNA-Ala". It matches the Rfam family "tRNA". From Rfam's summary of the family: Transfer RNA (tRNA) molecules are approximately 80 nucleotides in length. Their secondary structure includes four short double-helical elements and three loops (D, anti-codon, and T loops). Lineage: Bacteria; Pseudomonadati; Pseudomonadota; Gammaproteobacteria. RNAcentral also lists the same sequence under 5 other names. The record is from RNAcentral.